GUUGGUGGUUUGCACGCAACGUCUGACAUGUCUCGGUCAGCCUCAGUUUGUCUCUUUACGUUUUCCUCUUUUCUUCUUGGAGCUCUGACGAAAACAAGCAAUGGGCAGUGUGUGUGGGUAGGAGGAGUGCUGUAAAUUCGGUGCUUUGGUCUUCCAGCUGUCAGGAAAUUGGAUGGUCCUGGGGUAGAUAAUCCAUUGAGGCUGACAGCACAAAUAGCGUAUAGACAUUGUUAAUGCCGUUGUUGGUGUGACCCAGAACCCUUUGGGUGAUGGUGCUCGUGUGGAAGGACGUGAGCAGAAAGUUACAUCCUGCCCAUUAGGAUGUACUGCUGUGUUCUUUCACCUGCAGCUUCCUGAGACUGGUGUGGUUUGGGGCUUUGUGGGAUGUGGUCUGUUCUGUUAGGACAACUGCUCGUUGUAGACACGAAGAAGAAAAGGGAAGUAGUAGGUUUGUCUUUCAUUAACCUUGACAACUCUGUUGCCUUGCUUGUUCUUAGGUACAACUCUUGCAUGUUAAAGCCACAGAGUUACUCCUCUUAAGCACGGGAACUUACGUUUCUAGGCAAAUAUUUACAUCGAAGUUCCAGCAGUAGACAGGAGUUGUUGGUUGUUCCAUCAUGUAGGGCUGUCAGAAAAACAAGGAGCAUAGACCAUGAGUUGAAGGCUGGGUCCUUUGUCCACCCAAGAAUGCCUUGUAAAGUCCAGGAGAAUAGCAGCAUGGUUUGGCUUCAGAAAGACUUUUAGGUAAGUCUUGCCUGGUAUCACGAUGGCAGGAAUACCACUUGAACUCUGUGUAAAAGAGAGGAUCCCAUCUCAUUUUAGAAGAGGAAAUGAGGGAUGAUACCUGUAGGGAAAGAUUACCAUUCGAACAGAACUAAUUUUCAUCAGGGUGGGGAAUAAUUCCAAGAUCUGAAGGGCUGUUGAAGGCUUCUGAGCUUCCUUUUAUAAAUAGGGAACUGCCAUUAACCUUAACCUUAGCUUUGACCCUGCAGUCUGGGAGGCUGCUCUGUUACGCUGUGAAACGUUUCCAGCUCUGUGGCUCGAGUGAGUGCUGAGGUGACCUGGGCUGUGGGGUUGGGUGAUCAUGUAAUUUGCAUAUAGAGCACGAGAUGAGAACGAUUAGAAAAUGGUGACCUUUUCUCCCGUCUCUUUCAGUUCUGUGCUGAAAUAACCAGGCUGACACGUUUCAGGCCGUGAGCUGUUCCCUGCAGCUGAUGAUUCGACAGCUUUGUGGCUCUCUCAGGCUCUGAGCACGCAUGGUAUCAGGCAGGCAUGUGCCCCACAAGGCUUUGUGAGACAUGAGUCUGAGUGUUCGCUGGCUUCAUGCUAAGCCCUUGGUUUUCCCUGGUAUUAAACCAUACUCUUAUCCCAGCAAUGCCAAACGGUGCAGGUUGGGAGUGCUGUUCUGAUGGCUGUUGGUAUAGAAGGUUCAGGAGCCUGCUUGUUCCAAUCCACUCCCUCUUAUCUUUCAACACUGCCAUCAGCCUUUCCUAUGUGAAAGCAGCGCGUUCUGCUGUGGGAGGGAUCCCAGCAGCCUACGUCCUGGGGCAGGGAGAUGCAGGGGAGCGUUGCCAGGAACUUCAGGACCUGUUGGUGGGGAAGGCCAAUUGUUUGCACGUAGCAUGCUGGUUGUGGCAUGAAGCUAGAUAGAAAUCUCCCAGGAAUGUUAUCUUUGGGUAUUGCUUGUGCUUGAAUGGAUCUAAAAAGAAAGUUACGGUGCAUUAUGUAAGCAAGAUAGAGUCAGGUGGAUUUUUAGCUUAAAGUUUGGUAGUUUGCUAAUGGGAGGAAUUUGUCUUUGAGUGCUGCUGUCUGUGAAGUGACCGGAGCAGACCAGCUCCUUGAGAUCUGAUUCCAGAAGAAGGCUGUCCUGUGUGUGAUGGAGCAUAUGAUUUCAUGCAGUUAUAAAACAUAGCCUUAGCUAAAAGGAAUCGUCAUGUUGCCCUCAUUGUGUCCUCGUAAUUUGUUAUUUCCAUUUAUGUUUGGGGUCUGUGGAAACGAUUCAGCCAAGACUGAGGUACUGAUGUAUGGAUGGUCACUGUUUCUUCAGAGCAACAUCCACCCUGAAAAGCAGUGCGGAGUUGUCCAAAAUGCUUUGUAGUCACGUUGGUUCUUUUUGUUUAUAGAAAGAAAAAGGUCCAUUCUGACCGUAUCAGUGAGGUUUCCUGGGUUAUUUUGUACCAGAGCUUAUUGCUGGAAUUCUCUGCGUCGUGCUGAAGUGUGGGUGUCCCAUCCUGGAGGGUUCAGGACCAGGCUGGAAGGGGCCCUGGGCAGUCUGAGCUGGUGGGGGCAGCUCUGCCUAUGGUGGAUGUUGAGACUGGAUGGGCUUUGAGAUCCCUUCCAGCCCAACCAUUCUGUGCUGUAAGGUGAGCAGGGAGGUGCUGCUUGGAUCAGAUGCUUCAGUGCCCGCCUGCUAUCUCAGCAUCAUUUGUGUUUUUGCAGCUGAUUGAACUAUUGCUUCUGGUGUUUGGGAGCCUGAAUUGUAUGCAUGUGGACAGGUGAGCUGGGAGUGCUCCCUGCUCAGUUUGGAGUCAGGUUCCUGAUGGCUCACCUGUGCACCUUUCACCUUUUCUCUCUUUCUGCAGCAAAGCAGCGCUUUGUGACUUUCAGCUUCCUAUGUUGUGUAGGUGGAAAGCAGUCUGUGCUGCACUUCUCAGACAGAAAUAGUCGUGGUCUGUGACUGCAGUAGGCAGGUAGUGGAAAAACUGGAGCUGAACUAAAUCACCUGCCAUAUCUCCAAUACGGACUUGUAAUCACUGACAGUAAUUCCUGACUUUUGAGAGCAAGAUAUUCAAGCAAUACUUGAAUAUUGGGCUUGUAUCGUAAAAUGGGGCUGAAGCUUUGCUGUCUCUUGUGGAAGAUGGCCUCUUAGAGCAGCGCCCUGUGAGGGUUCCUCCAUUCCUGGGCAGAGGGAGGAGGUGACCUGGGAGGCAGCACACAGCCUGUGCGGCUGUCAGGUGAGAAGGAAUGAAGAAAUGGGCUCUGUGGCACGAUGCAGUUCAGUUUACAGUAUCAGCAGUGUCUGCAGUGAAGGGAAUCGUGAGGCUGAGCAGGAAAAUGGAGCGGGUUGGGAUGCAGCCGGUGGUGGCGGUUUGUGCUGAGCCGUAGGCAGCAGCCAGAAGACCUUUCCAGUGCUUCCCUCCUUACAGCUGCAGCAGCAUUGCUGGCUGGAGCGGCCACGGCAGCUCUCAUUGCAUUCCAGGGCGCGGGACUGCGCUGCUGCGCUCUGCAGUGAUCUGAUGGCAGUGGCUGAGAGUGCAGCGGCGGUAACGGCAGCAGCGGGGUUAUGUGAGGACACUGCUCUGGUCUUAACUCUUUGCUUGCCUGCUCUGCUUUCUUCUAAUGGCAGCACUCGCAGGCUUUGCUGGGCAAUUGCAGCAUUUUGCCACUUGAUUACUCAACUGAGACUUACUGUUGGCAGGGGAAACCAAACAAAACGUAGAUCCUGCCAUUUCUAAGCUAUGAAAAGUCGAAGCUCUGCGUUUAGAUCCAUCACACUGCCCUAAGCACAGGCUCUGGGGAGACAGGCACCUCGGCAGUAUGUGCUGCCUAAUGUGCCCACACACCCAGAAUGGGGGGAGCGGCCUAAAGCACGGUAGCCCAAUGGCUGUGGUCAACCUCCUGCAUCUCCUCAAGGUGACAUUGUAGAACCUGUUCGACUUAACUUUGUGUUUGGUCCAGAAUCUCAACAGCUUCUCUGUGGGAUCUUCAUCCAACACUGUGAAUGCUGCAUGAGUCCCAGUGAACCUGUCCAGCUGUCAGCCUAAAUUACUGUAAAUCAGAAGCUGCAAGUGUGCAGUGCGGUAUGUAGGAACACAGAGCUGCCCUUGUCGGCCAUAAAUCUGUCUGCUUAAGGACUUUUGGUUUUCUGGGGCCUGUAAUUGAACUGAGCAGCAAGUUUGUUGUGUGUGUGCUAGCAUGAGAAACUGAAAAGUUUCUCCUGAGCUGGGGGCGGGGAGGAGGAAGGGUGGCUGCUCUCACUGUGCUCUUUCAAUCCUGAUCAGGAAAUGGGCUUUUGAUUACGGUGCUCUCAGAGAUAGCAGUGGUUCUGCACAUGGGAGGAAUGUGGAGGGUGUCCACGUUGUGUCACCUAGCAGAUCUCUGCAUGGGACUUCAGGUUAUUAAUCUUACUGGAAUGUGGGAUGUUUCAGAAGUCUGAAGUACAGUGGAUGCUGAAUUGUUGUUUGGCUAAAGGUUGCUUUAUAUUGAACUUGAAACAAGGUAAACCGAGCUGGUUUUUGAACAGCGUGGGAACAGGCUUUCUGGACAGGCUGGCUUGCUGGGCUGAGGCCAUUGGGAUGAAGUUCAACAUGUCCAAGUGCUGGGUCCUGCACUUCAGCCACAACACCAACCAAUGCUACAAGCCUGGGGCAGAGAGGCUGGAUGCCUGUGUGGAAGAAAUGGGCCUGGAGGUGUUGGCUGAUGCUUGACUAAGUAUGAGCCAGCAGUGUGCCCGGGUGGCCAAGAAGACCAAUGGCAUCCUGGCUUGUGUCAGAAAUAGUGCAGCCAGCAGGAGCAGAGAAGUGAGCAUCCCCCUAUACUCAGCCCUGGUGAGGCCACACCUCGAGUGCUGUGUUCAGUUUAAAUAACAUUCAUAGUUGCAUCCAGUCUUGAAGCAUCUCCUGAAUGUGAAGACUACAAGUGAUGUACAGUCUGCUUGGAAGCUGUGGAAACGCUCAGUGGAUCAAAGGCAGAAGUGCAGACUGCGCCAGGGAGUCAGAAUCACUGCUUCUAUCUCUGCUUUGAAAACCUGCAGAAAUGAAUCAGCUGGCUCCGUUGCUUUGCAGAGCGACCUUUGGGUAUCUUACAGAAUAUCCAUUGCCUGCGGAUGUCCACUGACUCCUCAUUUAGAUGUAGGUGUUGCUCAGCUCUCCUGCAACAUAGGAGUGAUUCAGAAGUCCUUAACCUGUUUGGAUGCACAGGUUCUGCCUCAGCUCACCGUAUGGAAUUCCAUCUGUGUGCAUGCAAGUGUUAGAUGCCACAUGGAGGAUGCGGCACGAGGGUGGUGAAAAAGGGUAGAUAAAUGAAUGUUGUGAGUUCCUGGGUGCGGGUUGUGGAUCAUCAAGCAUAAUGUGCCAAUCAAGACCAGGAGAGAAGAGCAGCCUGUGGGCCCUGGGAGGUCCUGCAGCAGGGAAAGCUGGGACUUCUGGGAGUUCCUACGUGAAUGAGAACACGAGGAGGAAAUUUGUCGUUGUUUGAUUUGGAUGAAAUCCUUAAGAAUUUGUGGCUAAGGGCCAGAGUUUAAUCUUUUUAAGGCAGAAGACUAGAUAAGUGAUUUCUGAAGGCCUUUUAAGGAGCAGAACACCCUACCGUGUGAUGCUCGUCCAGAAGAGCUGCGGUUCUCAUAUCUUAAAUAGACGAUAACUGAAGAAAUGCUUAAUCCUCAUUAUGGAAUAGAUUAUGCCUUAAACAGUGAGGUCUUUAUAAUCUAACAGCACAGCAUUGAUGCAUGAGGGGUUAAUAUUUCUGGAACGGUUAUAUCACUGUCCUUAAAUUAAUUUGGAAAAAGAGGGAACGCAUGAGUGGUCUGCAGUGUGUGGGUGCCUACAUGUGCCAGUGCUAAACGAAAUUAUGCUAUUAAUGUGUCCCUUCACAACAUUGUCUCCUGAGUUAGUGGGAUACAUCUGUCUGGCUUCAACAGCUUGUCAGAUUGCAUUGCCAGAACUUCCUUCAAGAUGUCCGACCUCCUUUAAAGGUACUUCUGCUACAUGCAAAAGAGCUGGGAUGCACAAUGUGUAGGAGAACGCCAGGAAAUCUGUCCUGCAAAUUGACAUAGCAGUCCAGCACUUGAUGUGAAUGCAGUGGGGUAUGUUAUGCUUUAAGGCUUGGUCUCCCAUCACUAAGGGAUUUUUUUGGUGUUCUAAAUAGUGUUUCAGAGUUAUCAUUUUGAAUUAGGCCUGGAAGUUUCUGAUUGGAAACUUGAAUGUCAGCAGGCACUGCUGCUUCAUUUUCAGCACUGCUGCUCUCUGCAAGGCUUCCUUGGGAGAUGGGUGUUUCUAAUGCUGCUUUGCUUCAUCCACAUGGCUUGGCAUGGUGAAGGAAUCCUCAAGAGAGGUGUUGUGUUUGGAGUUAGGAGUGAGUCAAAACUCUUGAUAAAUCUGUUGUUGGUUGCUAAACUUCAAUCUCGAAAUGACUUAAAUGCAGGACAAGCCAGGUUUGUUUUUCUGAGCAGAGAAGAUGAGCUCUCUGACCAUCUCAGAGCCACGUUCUUUAUACAGCGUGUCUUACACAUGAAAUGUUGUCCUGCUUGCCCUCCCUCAGCUGCAGAUGUGUGGUGGUGGGGCGGUCCCAGUGCAGCUGGCUGCUGGCGCUCCUUUAUGUAGUGCUGGGUUUGCUUUGGUCGAUGCAAACCACUUUGAACAAGUGCAACUUUAUGCUCUUACAGAAAACUAAGAUGAUGCCUUCUCUCUUAGGAGUUCUGGGCAAAAAGACUGUGAUCUUAAAGAGCCAUUAUCUCAUUUAUGAUUUAUAGACAGCGAUGGUACUGUUGGAUAUAACUGUUUAAUCUGAAGAUGAUCAUGUGAGCAUCCCGCUAUGGCAUUCAGCUGCUCACUGGGGCGUGGGCUGUAUGAGCUGGAGGGUGGUGAAUAGAGAAAAGCACAGGACGAGGAGUGUGUGUGGAACUGGCUUUUAAGGGCAGCCUGCCGUGGGGGAGCUUGGAGCUUCUUUCAGCAUGUGGAAACCAACGGUGGGGACGACUUGUUUUCCAAAUACACAGGCUGAGGGUAUAAGCUGCUUCUGAGAGGCUUUGCUGUACCUACAGGAAAUCUCAGCCUUUGACCUGUUGGCCCGCAGCAGUUCAAAUUGUACCCGUUUCUGCCAAGUGGAUGUCAUGUACUUAGCUCCUUCGACACUGUUUAGAAUAGACUUGAAUUUACGAUUAACUGGAUUAACUUAAGGUUUAACUGGCUAAUAGCAGAGUAAUAGCUACCACCAUGCUUUGAGAAUGUUAUUUGCGUAGGGAUGCAAGACUGAACACAGUGGACAUGCAUGCUGCUCUGCUCUGAAGGUGGCCCUUACACUGGGGUGCUGCAGGCAGACCCCUCUGGCCUGUGGGGCUGUGCUGGACAUUAACAUCUGAUAUUACUUAGACCAUUCCUUACUGUUAACAGAUUUUCCUUUGUUUGCAGAGGCUGCUCUGUUACGUUGACCUUCUAGACAAAGUCCUUUCACGUUCAACUUGGUAGAUUUUAUGGGGUAGGGUAUAUUGUAUAGAUGUGAAGGAUAGGACGUAGCACAUUGCUGCUCUAUCUGAAUUCAGCUGUGUUGCAGGUGCUGUCAUUGCCUCUGCGGUGCCUGAACAGUGGAUGGAGGGCUGGUGCUGUGACUUAGAGCUCCGCUUCUUUAAGAAGUGCUAAACCUGAUGGUUCUGAUGUAUGGAAAGGUAAUUGAAGUGGUACACUGACCUCGAGCUUCAAGGAAGAGCUGACUGGGAGCUGAGAGUUGCUUCGUAUUGAAGCUCUGGCUUUGAAGCUGGGGAAAAAGGAGUGCACGGAAUGCAUUACAGCAAGAUACACGCGUUUUUAUUUCUGCUGACAGAAUUUUAAAGCUGAUUUAAUGAUGAAACAACGACAGGGACUGGAAGUGUCUUUCACAGACAUUUCAUGUUAUACGUACCCAGCAAUCCAAGGAAAGGUCUGUUCCAUUCAACUACCCAACUAGCUGCCUGAACUGCGUGUGCAGGGGGAGGGCUUGGCUUCUGCCCAGCACUGUGAGUUAAACUUUGCCUUGUGGGGGAAGAAAAAAAAUCAGUUGUCUUUUCCUCUGAGUGUGUCAUAAACUGAAACAUUUGGGCCUGAUUUGUCACUCAGCUUUUCUGCCAGCAAAGGUAAGAAACAGAGGUAACCAGACUGCACUAGAAUACCCAAACCGUAUCUUCUGACAAAUGUUUCCUGAGGUUCCUGGCUUCAGUGGAGACAGUGUGCCAGCAGGAUCCUUCUCUGCAAGCAUCUGAUGGUCAUUUUUAACUCCCAUUAUAAUGUUGAUGUCACAAGGAAAUAAUGAUGACGUGAACGAAGCUAGGUCUCAAAGCAGGUGUAUAUACUAUGUUUAAGUGAUAAUCCUUCAUGAUUAAAGGUAAUAAUUGUAGAAUUAAGUUGUCUCAGUAAAACGCAGCUCAUGGUAUCAUCUCCAGAAGUUCAGAAACUGCCUUCUUCAUUGGCCCAGGUGUAUCAUUCCUAUAGUCAUUAGAAUGAUUCACUGAACUACGUGGACAUGGUCAGCAAAAUAGCAGCUAUGCAUAAUUAGUACCUGGGGGGGUUAAAGCGUUAAUUGACAUAGAAAGCUGCUAAUGAUGGAGUCUGAGAUGAGUGAUGAGCUAGUGAUGAAUUCUGCAAUCUUUCCUAUCUUGUGAAAAGACUUCUGUCCAAAAGCAAUGCUGCUGUUUCCGUUGCUGCCCGGUUGUACCUCACUGUGCUCUGAGAGGUCAUCCUGUGCUCUCCCGCACCCGUGCACCACGUGUUGGUGAGCUGAGCUGGGAACUGCUGGGCUCUCCAUUUUGUGCGCUGGUGUUCCGAAUUCAAACAAGGAUAAAGGUCUCAAUGCUCACAGUUAAAUUGAACACCUCCCUGUGCUUCACAAAGACUUUCUCAUGCUCAGAAAGUCGAGUGUAAAUGUGCAGGAGAUGCUACAAUUCCGGCAUGUAGGUAGGGUUUAUCUAAUUUGAUAGGACUGACAGCAUUUUGUUCUGAAAUUCACUGAACCUGUUCUUGAUCAGACCUCAACUGGUUGCUCUGUGGGCAGGAGCAGUUCUGUGCGGAGACAAACUUACAUAAGUCGCUGGGUUUGUGGCAUGAAUGGAUUAGAUGCUGCCAGCUGCUCGGUCUUUCAUAAUGAAGCAAAGUAUGUAAGUUGGCUCUGCUGUGGAAAAAGAUGGGUUAAAGACACCGUCUGCAUCUGAAAACCCAACAGAACGGGGAAGUGCAACUCCUCGCUAGUUGGCUGCUCUUAACCCUAACAGCUCUUUACUGACUACUUGUGCAGCCCAUGCCUCGCAUUGAGAAACCCUGCUGAGAUAGAAGUGCACCGUGGCCGUCAUCGUGGAGAUGGCUGAGCUUGGGACAGCUGCAGCUUGCACAAUGCCCUGCUUGUGGAGCUGCUGUGUGCCUUGCUGGUGGGCCGCUCGCAUCAUCUGUCUCCUGGAGGAAGUUGGCACUUGAGAGGAUUUCAGCUGGGCUUUCCUUCUGUUGUACAGAGGAGGAUGUGGGGAGGGCGGGCACUAAGGAGGAGGUGGGUCCUCUUUUGAGUGCCCACAUAGUACUCAGUUGCUCACGUUCUGGGCAAACUGCCUGGUGUUAGAAAGCUCAGAUUUUAUGGGUGGGCCCGACAGCCCAGUUCUUGUCCAAGGAGUAUAAGGGUGAGUGAAUAACUCCAUUCGGCAAUUGUUUUGCCUUGACAAUUACAAUGGUUACGGCUCUUUACAAGGGUGGAUACUGAUAGGACGAGAGGAAAUGGUUUUAAACUGAUACAGGGGAGGUUUAGGUUAGAUAUUAGGAGCAAGUUUUUCACGCAGUGGUGGUGAUGCAGUGGAACAGGUUGCCCAAGGAGCUUGCGGAUGCCCCAUCCCUGGAGGCAUUCAAGGCCAGGCUGGAUGUGGCUCUGGGCAGCCUGGUCUGCUGGUUGGCUGCCCUGCACAUAGCAGGGGGGUUGAAACUGGAUGAGCGUUGUGGUUCUUUUCAACCCAGGCCAUUCUAUGAUUCCAUUCUAUGGUAUUUGACGUGCUCUGACAGCGCUGGUCAGUGUGUCCGUGGUGUGCUUUGCUUUAUUCAGCGAGUGGUCUGGUGCAUGAACAGAAGUAGGACAUCUUGUUCUCUGAAAUGGUAUUCUGUCUUGAAAUUGCUGCUGUUCUGUUUUGGCAGUAGAGAAUGCUUUCCUUUACCACUCUAGCAUCAAAUCAUAAAUAAUAAAUCAUCUAUGUAGAUAGCCCUUUCCAUACUUCUGGAUGAGCUCUGAGCCCCCUGGGACUUGUAUUUCAGGUAACGUAAGUCCCUUACUCCCAACUCUUCCCUUUUCUCAUGUUUCUGCAGGGAUGGGAGGAGUGGGAAGUCUGGAGGGCUUUGCUUACACUUAUUUUGCCACAGGCUAGCCAGUGCUUUGAGUUACAGUAACCAAGUGGAGCUGGAAGAGUCACCCUAUUGCCCUGCCUCAAUGUUGCCUUUGCUUGAUGCAAUACAGAGCUGGAGGUAAUGGUCUCUAGUUGCACCAAUGGAGGUUCAGGUUGGGUAUUAGAAACAAAAUUUCUUCUUGGUAAGAGUGGUGCUGCAGUGGCACAGCUGCCCAGGGAGGUGGUGGGGUCACCCUCUCUGGAGGCACUCCAGAACCAUAGAGAUGUGGCACUGAGGACGUGGUCAGUGGGCAUGGUGGGCGUGGGUUGACUGUUGGAUUAGGUGGUCUUAUCCAACCUUAGCGGUUGUGUGAUUUAUUUCUUUGAUUCUAUGGUUUAUUUCUUCAUAGUAAGUUUAAACUCUCUCACGUUGAGCAGAGAUUGAAAAUGUUAAACCACAACCUUCCUCCGGUAAGAUUUUAGCAAGUGCUUUUUCACCUGGAAAUCACAACUCUAUGUCAGUUUGAGCUGACUUUGCCUUGUUCCUGCUCAGUACACUACUUUUGGUUUCAGUGGAUGUUUGUGUCCCUAAAACUUGAAGACAGGAAAAGUACUAUUGUGGAGGAUAAUGUGAGGAAAAGCUUAGCAAGCUGAAAAGUAUUUGGUGCCUAUUCCAAAUGAGGGCAUAUUUGAGUAGAGGUUUUUUUAGACGUGCACCUGUGAGCGACGGAGCCAUUGCUGCUGGUAUGAGCAGCCUGACAUCAGAAGCCCAUCCUAGGCUGAAGUAUGCUUAUGGUGUUGGUGCAGUGGGAUUGCAGCAUCUGCCCAUGCCCUCCUCCCUGCACAACAGCUGGGGGAUGCAGCCAGCCCUUCUGUAAGAACACAGUUGCAUGCAGUUCCUUGGCCCAUGCCUGGUGGACAGUGUAUUUAUGUUGUAAUUCUCUGAAAAUGUUGCCUGAUCUUUCUGGGGAAAGAGGAGAUAGGAGUUCAGUGGUGACCUUAAUUCUCCUCUCUGUCCGUAGUUCAAAGGAUUGGAAUAAAACCUGUGGGACAAAGUUCAAGCCAAGCUGUUGUUGACAUUGGCCUGUAUGUUUCUUGGGCAUGGGCUGAGACAUGGCACCGGCACUGAGCUGGGUUUCAUGUUUCUGGUGCCCACUUAGGGAGCCCUGGCUUAGCAGGAUACCACUGCUGCUCUUACCCAUGUGGUCCUGACUGACCCCAGGUCUGGAGAGCUCCCUUAUGGCUCCUGGGGGAAAGCAGGCAUCGUUGUGGGGGCACACAUGGAUGGCGUUACGGGGAGGCUUGGUACAAAGCUUGGGGGAUGUGGGAGGAGAGUGGUGGAAUACUGCUGUAGUCUUGUCUGUUUGUUUGUUUGCUUCUUUCUUUUUCACUGCUAGGAGGAAAGCAGUAAUUAAUACAGCUGGAUGUUAAAUGCAGCACUGUUGGCUCUGACUCCUUCCCAGGGCUCUGUUUCCAAACUUAGCACAGGCAGCAGCAGACGACGGCUUUCAGUUCAGGAUCUCUUUUAGGAGGAAAAGUGUUGGGCAGUCAUCUGUGCUUUUCUGGUCUGUAUAUCUGAGGUACCCAGAUAUCCAGGUAUCCAGGAACUUGAUUUUAAAUAAAGCAGCUUUCAGAAUGUUGUGGGCUGAUUUUUGAAUGAACUUUCUCCACUGCAAAGUAUUAACAUAGCACUGUCAAAGCACUGCCAGUGGACAACGGUAUCAAAAGCAAUUAAAUAUGGGAGAACAGUUUUACCAUAAACUAGUUUGUCCCAAAUAUCUGUUCUUUAUGAUGUCAUUGAAGUACUCCCUCUGAGUAGGAUGGUCAUGAUUCUAAAUUCUAACUUGAGGUCAUACUUUGUUUAUGUUUCUUGCUGAUGGGAGUGUGAAGGAGUACAGAGCGUGUACUCCAAAAGCAGCUAACACACUUGGCAAUCUUUAUAAGGGUAUAUUUAUCCAGUAAGCAACACGUAAUAGGAUCCAGUAGGUUCCCAAAUGUGGAAGAUGUACUGUAAUGGAAAUUGUGUUAAGGCUAUGGUAAAGCUUUGAAAAGUCUUUUCUUUCCAGAGCUUUGAAGUUGCUUCUUACAGUCAAUGUAUGUGACUCGCUUUCAUUUACCAUCUUGUCAAAUCUUUCAAGACUGAUUUGGUUCUAUCUGAGGGCCUUGUUUGCCAUGCAGGGACUGAAAAGGAUUUCUAGUUUUCCUUGCUUCUGGAUGGACAAACCCUCCAAGCAGAACAGCUCGCUGAAUUAUUUCUGUGAGGGUUGGACUCUGCAGCUUUUAGGUUAGUUUUAAACUGGAGGAGGCAUUUAAAUAAUGCUAUUGGAUCUGCAUUAGAACCAAAGCAGUACACACUGAGUAGCUUUUGCACUGUUUCUGAUAAAAGUUCAGGAGACCCAGUUGCUAAAUUUAGGGAUGUAACUCUAAAAUAGGUCACUUGUCAUCUGUAGUUUACGUGUACCACGCUGCUCAUAUCGGCUCAUCUAAAAGUGUUGCUCUGUCUGCUACCAGCUGUAAGGGGAUGACAGCCUGAAGACUUAUUUCAAUACCAGUUGUCUUUUCCUUGCUUUGCAGGAAAAUCUUCACUGACGAUUCAGUUUGUGGAAGGACAGUUUGUUGAUUCCUAUGAUCCAACCAUAGAGAACAGUAAGUACAUAACUGAUAAGCUGCUCAUCUGUAACCAACUGUCUCAGAAAUCAUUGUUCGUGUUAUUUAUGUGGGCACUUACAUAGUAACAUUACAGCUUUUUACUUUAACAGGUAAAUACAUUGGAUGUUGAGUCCCUGUCAAGAUAGAAAUAAAAGGAAGUUAGAAUAAAGUAAUCAGCAGAACGAGGUUUUUGAUUUAUAUCAUUAUAAUUAGCAGUGCUAUCAGCAGAUUUUACUCAGGAUUAUUUUACUGGAUGGAACUGAACCUCAUAUUACUUUUUGAAGGAUCUCUUGCUUUGCUUUAGCAAAUGAAGCUGGUUAAUUUGCCCUUUGACCUAAAUGAUCUGAUAGUCUAUGUAUGAAUGUCCAGACACCAUCAUGAUGUACUGUAUUAUUAGAAUUGUAAACAAGGCUUGUUUUGAGAUGCAUCAAACAAGGUCUCAUACAUUAGAUUUCAUUAUUUAAGUCUUACCAUAGAGUCAUAGAAUAGCUUGGGUUGGAAGGGACCUUAAGGAUCAUCAAGCUCCAGCCCCCCUGGCCGCAUGUAGAGCUGCCAUCUUAACGUCACUUGGGUCAGGCAACUUUCCAUUGUCUGCACUUCACAAAUGCAAAGUAUUUAAAGUAAACUUGUAGAUUUCUGUAGACAUAUGGGGGUGACUUGAGAGACAGAGUCAGAUGCUGUCUCUAAAGUGUGGAGAGCACCCGCAUGUCCUGGUUUAGGAUUUUGGCAUGUUGGCACAAGGCUGACUUGUUUCCCCCUUUACGAACCCUUGUCCACAGAAACAUAUUGGCUGUAAUUGGUGCUCUCCAGCUGUGCAUCUAUCACUGGCAGCAUUUACCUACAUGUACUCAUUUUAAAACACCUCAUACAGAUUUACUUUCUACCUGGAAUUUGGUUAGAUUCUUUAGUUUCCACCAGGCUUCAUGAUGUAUGUGUAGAUGGUUCAUUUGCAGGUGAAUUCUGCAUGUAUUUGGCUCUUGGCACAGCUCACUUAAUAUUAAGUGUGUCGUGGCCAUGAAAACUGUGGGCAGGGGGCAUCCUGAAAAUGUCAUCAUUUUGUGUGACUCUUUUGUACAGAAAACAAGCAGCAUUAUUAUUUUGCUGGAAGCUUUGUGAUCUGUGGCAUGGCUGGAGGAAGUUACUUUCUGAAAGGUAGAGAAUUGAAGGGCCCUUAUUCUAUCAGAAUGUGUUGCUGGGGAGUAGGGGUGAGACCUAGAAGAUAUGCCCUGGGGAUCAAAAUAGCAGGAAGCCUACCCUGGUAUAAAACCAUUCUUCUGAAUGGUCUGUCUUCAUUUCUUUUACGUGCUUUUUAUGAAUGCAGACUCUUGAUGGGUCAAGUCUUUUGACGUCUCCAGCUGUAUGCUUUUGAGCCUGGCCAGACUUGUAAGACACCAUCAACGUAACCAACUUUUAGUGUUUUACUCACUUGUGAUUUUGAAUCUGGUUAAUGAUGCCAAAAGGGGUUCAAGAAUCCGGGCUCCUGCAGGAGGGAUGCUGUUGAAGAACAUUGCGUUUUUGCAGUGGUUUAAAGCAGGCUGUCACACUUUCAUAUAGGGAUUGGGUGUACUCCAGUGUUACAGCACUUGAAAUAAAGUUAAAUAUAGGCUCAACGAUGGCCCAGCCUGUGUCAGCUCUGUUUUACCUCCAGAAAAUUGCAACUGACAAUUAUCAAAGUAUUAUCAGCACUGAUGAAUGGCUGGAAAACUGUAGUACCAAUGGUAACUCAGGCUUUGCAAUUUUUGUCUUCAAAUAACAUAACUUGCAUGAAAAAUUGAGUUUAAAAUUAAAUUGCAUAGGAAGGAAACUAUAGCUAAGCUUUUUCUUAGGAACAAGUGUAAAAUAUAAGCCUUGGACUAAAAGGAUAUGACGAGUAUUCGAGUGGCUUUGUUUUGCAGUGGAAAAAACCUCUACCUUCUUUGGAAGGGGCACAGGGAAAAUGAGCUGCAUCAGGUUUCACUUAAUGUACAGAAAAGUCAGCACUUCUGUGCUGUGUUUUCCUUUGCUUCUAUUACAUUAGAACUAGAAAAGUUAGUUUAUCUAAGCUAAUAAGCACGUUGAAUUCAGUUGCUUCCAGUAAACUUGUGCAUCAGGAAGGGUAACUCGUAGCAUUUUGUGGCAGCACUGGUGGUGAGUUAAUUGCUUAAAGUAGAAUUUCCUCUUCCUAAUGUCCCAACAAGAGUGACGCUGUGAUGGGUGGCUGUUAGUGAGGCAGCAGGGUGGAGAAACCAGUGGGACAAUCACUUGGGAAAUGGUGGCAAGAGAAGCAAAGCCAUUGCAGAGCAGGAGCGCAUAGAAGGAGCCUGCGUGGACACUGAGCUGAAUGGAUGCAGCCUAGCUCAGCCCUUCGUGGAGAAACAGAAGAAUUUGGAACUCUUAAACUGGGAUAAGCCCAAGAAUCUUAAUUUGGAACUCAAGUCAGAAGGAAUAGAAAAUGUGAAUGUGUGCACAGCUCCAGUAUUUUUUGAUACAAUUGUCAUUAACAGGGUAUUAGGAAGGGAAGGGGGCUGAAGGCACGCUAGUGGUUGUGGAGGCAAUACACAUAGGUUCACAUGGUUGGCUAAAAGCAUCCUUAAGGCUCAGCUUCUCCCACGUGCAUGAAGCCAGCUGCCCUGCAGGGGUGACAGCACUUGUGCUUGGGAGCUGCUGCCGAGCAGUGUUCUCCAAGGGUGGGCAUGGGGCUUUAGCUCUGCUGUGUUACACACCUGCUGCAAAAGCUGUCCUGGUGGUUGGACUGAAGAAAAUCAGAAAGGGAUGUGGAAGCUGGUAACUGAUGUGCCCUUACGAGGAGGUUAUAUUUACCAUUCAGUAGCUCUGGGAAAGGUUUUACACUGCUCCCCUAUCUCUGCUCAGUAGCACUGGUGAUCUGAAGGUCUGUCUGUGUGCCUAGUUCUGAUUCCUUACCACAGUGGCUUGUUUUCACAACAGCUGCCAUUUGAGCAGCAUUUGCAAAUCCUCUCAUUCAUGUUUGUGUAACUGAAAUAUGCUGCUUCUUAGGGAGGCAGCAGUCAGCAGCCCAUGGAGUUGCUGUGCGAGUCACGCUGCUUCUUGGCUGUAGCAUCUGCUGGGGCUGCACUGUGCAAUUACAACUGCAUCAGAGUGGGAUUGUGCCGAAGGAGGAGGCUCUUCUGGUGCUGGGAGUCCCUGUUCUGAGCUAGCAGCUCCUUGCCCAGCCUGCUGUGACUGCCCACUGCUUCCCUUCCCUGCUCUGCCUCCCAUUGCUCGGUACCAAUGGUGGUGGUGUUUCUGCUUGGUCUAUUCUGGGCUUCUAGAAGAGCUGCCAUCUGUCCCUGUCCCAUUUUAAAUAUUAACUUCACGAGGCUCUUGAACCUACUUUGAUUGCAGAGUGCUUUGAUUUGGAUGGGAGUUGUCAGGAGACCAGAGGGUGGCUGCUGUGCUCAGGAACCUGUAAUGCACUGUGUCUCCUUCAUGUUUGAAGCACUGAUGCUGCAUACAGCAGCCCUGCAUGUUAACAUCUGUUCAGACGAGAAUCUGUAUCAGCCAAAAAGCUGUUCUGCAUUCUUGCUUCGUAACCCCACAACCUUGUGCAGUGGUGCCAACAGCUCACUGACUGCAUCGUGCAAGCACAGGUGUUAACGCAGCUGCAGUGCUGGGACAGAUGGGGUAUGGUUGGUAGGAGCUCUCUGUGAGGCUUCAGUCAAAUUGCAUGUGUUGCUACUGUAGUGGAAGCUGCGUGGCUGCUCUGUGCUGUGCAUGUAGGCACUUGCCUUGUAGAAUCAUUAAAAUCAUUAAGGUUGGAAAAGACGUACUAAGAUCACCAAGUUCAACUACUGACCCACGCCCACAGCGCCACAUCUCCAUGGUUUUGGAACACCUCCAAGGACGGUGACUCCCCCACCUCCCUGGGCAGCCUGUUCCAAACAGCAAAAUGUGGCUUUGUUCUGUUUUCAGUUGCUCCUUUCUAUGAGCACGCUUUGAGUGACGUAGGCAGGCCGAAUCUGAGUGUGAAGCUAGCCCAGUGACUCGAGAUAAUGUGUUGUGGAGGUGUGACAGCAGCAAGCACUGGUGGCAGGAGGAAAACUGGUGGAGUUCAGCUUCAAGGAGCCAAGAAGUGCAAGAGUCAGCCAGCACAGCUGGGUGGAGGACUGCACAGCUGGAUGGAGAGGAGUCAGCUCUACUGCAGCUUUCAGGAUGGGCAGUCUGAGGCGUGAUCAGCACAGCACUGCAGUGCUGCCCAUUUCCCCAAUAAUCGUGGUGAGGAAAGAGACGACUUCCUCUGACCAUUAGCAGCUGGGGAAACUGCCUUCACCUGCAUACAGCACACACAUUACCGGUAUGUCUCUGCUGCCCCGUGAUCUCAGUCUGUGGGCAACAUGAAGCCCUGAAGCUCGGCUUGCGUGCUCUGGUUGGUAUGCGUGGUGCUCGGCAGCACGUUGUGCUCCACGAGCUCUGACACGGUUUGCUUUUGCAGUUGCAUAAUGCAGACACUGAGAAAGGUUCCUCAGCUUGCAGUGUGUUGGCAUUUCAUAAACCCUGGGAAGAGCAGCAGUUCUCAUCUCGUAGGAACUGAAUGUGCUUCCUGACUAAGGACUGAACAGACUGGUAGCUGCGGCAAACGUGCAAGUACUAUGGGGAGCUUCAGCUAAAUUCUCACUAUUUAGGUUUAGCAUGUUCUUCAGUUAGCCUGUGUGUAUCUUAGCCCCAAAGAGGUUUUUGUAAAUCCAGAUCAUUUACCUCUUGGUAUUUGUAUCCGGGAAAUCGAUCUCGCUAAACUGCUUGGAAACUGGGGAAAAUAACCUGUGUGGAGUUCAAAGUUAGCUUUAAUGUUAAUUGCAUUUGUGUCUCAUGUUAACCACAAAUUACAGAUGCCUGCAAGUCUCUUUGAAAUGAUGUGUAGUAGUAGAGCCUUUUUACUCUUUGUUUCUAAGCAGCAGUAAAGGAAACAACCAAGGCACACUAUAAGAAUCUUCUACAAUUUGAAAUGUUAAAGUCAGUUUGUAAGUUUCAGUCCCUACAGUACUUUGUUAAAAGCACAACAACCUGAUGCAGCCUUCUACUUUAAAGCCUGUAACUAACAUUCUUUUUCUUAACCCUUCAGCUAGCAGUGGCAGAGAUGAGCGACUUCUUACUUUGUUCAUCAUUCUGAAAUGUGCAUCUGCUGUUUUUUAUUCUAGCUUUUACAAAACUGAUCACAGUAAAUGGCCAAGAAUAUCACCUUCAGCUGGUUGACACUGCUGGCCAGGUAAGUGCCUUUCUCCCUUUGCAUCUUUGGAGUUAAUGCAACAGGUAUUGGUGCUUGGGAAGAGCUACCCUGGUUGUGUCCAUGUGUUCAAAGCUGAAGCUCAACUUAAAUGAUUCCACUUUAUUUUGUUCUCUGAAAGUAAUGCUUGUAUAGUGUUUAUGCACUUUUUCUAUUGAAAUUGAAACAGUAGCUAGUGCUUAAAGUACAUAUGCCUAAAAAAGCCAAGAAAGAGCUGCCUGAACUCCAGUGUACCAAAGCUCUUAAGUAAUCCGCUUGAUACUUAUGGUCCGGUAGUCUUCUUUAAUUGGAAAAUGCCAAUUCAGUAAACCACACAGAAGUUUUUCUUGACUUUCUUCAGUCUGUGUGCUCCAGCACCUUGGUUUGUAUCCAUUAAAUAGUCAGAAUAGAAAGCAACAUGCAUAGGUAGCGCUCAUGAGGCUGCAAAGAAACUCCUGCAGUUUGUUUAUGUAACUAAGUAAGUGAAGGUUCAUGCAUGCAUACUUCUGAGCUUGGUGUAAUGAGGGGGAAUGCAGAAGGAGAUGGUAAACAAAUGUCUGUGGCGUGGUCAGUAGCGUCAUGAAAUAGAGGUGCUAAUUACACAGGGAUGCUUGGCAAAGCCUGGAGGUGAGUGUGUGCUCUGUGCUUUGAAGGGCUGUGCUUAAAAAAGGGACUGCUAAAUCCCUUACCAUCUUCCUGUUUGCAUGCUCUUACUUUCUGUGAGUUCUGGUAUUGUGCCUUUGGGUUUUCCCAAACUGUUAGCAUUAAGCAGCCAGUAAAGUACACGGGCAGUGCUUUAGACAUGAAAGCUGCAGGACAUUUGCUCAUAGCUGGGAGAGUAUUCAGGGCUGUGACCUUCUAGGACUAUUUGAUCACCUUCAAAGAGAGCUACAUGAUGUAAGAAUAACUGUGUGCUGUAAUUAUAUGCUGUCAGCUUGUGGUGGUAAUCAGCAGCACUAGAUCUACAGGUAAUCAGUCGGAGGGUUUAGUAACAGCAUUGACCACACAUACUGGGGUCAUAAACACGUUGUUUGGGAAAUUUAAACUAAAUAGAAUUGCACAGCUAGUAUUUUUCCCAGUCUGUGGUUAUUUCCAGCCUCGAUUCUUCCUGUGAAUGAGUUGAACUUUGAGUUGUGGCUCACAGGGCUAGAGGGAGAGAUAAUGCUGGGUUAUGGAAGGUGUGGUUUGAACAAAUUUCUCACAGUUCAGUCUUGCUUAAUGAUCCAUAGAGCAUCCUUACGUAUGCAGUAUAGCAAAGAUUAUAUUGCAGAUUUAUGUCAUAUACUUGAAAACUUGGCUAUAGCUUGAAAAGUUACAGCUCUGCUCGUUUUGUCACUUGGCAAAGUUCUUAAUUUGAUCCCCAACUUCCAGGAAGAGUUGUGGUCUUUUAUUUUUUUCCUUUCCUGACAAGCUAAAGAAAUAGUUUUCUUGGUACCUAUUUUCUGUCUCGUGCCUCUUUACCUCUCACAGUUACGUGUUCAGGUUUACAUAGCUGUGUUGAGCAGGAGGCUCACUAUGGGACCUCAGAACAGGAUGUAGCAACAAAUCUUUUCUGAACCUGAAUUCGAACUGUGGCAAUCCUGAGUAAUUGCAGAUAAAGGCAAAGAACUGUGGGGCUGCACUUUCACCUGUUUUACUUGCAGGCCAGCUCACAUCUCUCUGUGUUGACACUGGGAUUACACAGCCCGCGGAGAGGGCAGCGUGGCAUUUAAGCGGAGGUGGGGGAGGGCUGCCCUCAGUGUGUAGCAUUAAAGGCAAAUAAGGGCAUCAUGUGCAAGUGUUGUUCCUUCAAACUUUUUUGGCAGAAUCUGGGAAGUUGAUUUAUAAAAGGUUGUGGGGUUUUUUUUGGCAUUUGCCUAUUAAGGAAGUUUGCUUUCUGUUAGCUGUCUCGAUUUAAGCUGCAUGAUUGCACCGCUCCAUCUGUUCAGUCAUGACAAUAUACAGGGAGGUUAUGUAUCUUCAGCUAAAAUUAACAUCCUAAGAAACACAAGCUUAAAAAAUGGAGAGCUCGUACAGUAAGAUGUAUGGCUCUUGUCAAAAUGCAAAUGUUACCUGGGAACUUCUAUUAGAAUGCUUCUAUUUUAGUGUUUAACGUGAAAUUCUUCGUCUUAGUGUUGUGUUGUCUGCAUUCUGUCAAUCUGCCUCAGUUACUGAGUUGUUCAUUUGCAUUUUUACAGGUGUUGUAAACGUAGAGAUUUAUUGUCUAGGUUUGGUUUCUUAUGUUGGUUGGUGCUGAUGGUGGUAUUGCUUUGGUUUUUUAUUUUUUAUUGAAGAAUUGCCAUAUAAUGGCAACUUCUAGUUGCUGUGAAGCAACCAAUGGCUACAGUUCUUAGAUCUGUGAUGAGCAUUAGUUAGUUCGGUAUGCCACAGCUGCCUAACAGGCCCCAUAGGUAAGUUAGCUGUGGUCAGUGCCCCUUGAAGUGUGGAACUGCUAGAUCCUGUCUGCAGCUGCUGAAAUUUGGGAUUUGAUGGGAACGUAUCACUAGCAAGGUAAGAGGCAUAACUGCUAAUUAGUGGUAGGAGACAGAGUGGAUGUUUUGUACUAGGGUAAACUGAUAACUGAGCAGUGUAAGAGGAUCGGGGAUAGCUUUAGCUGAUCCGUAGUCUUAGAGGGAAUAAAGUAAAAAAGCUGUAGAUUAAAUUGUAGAGUAUGCAGACUAACAGGCUAACUAAGCUGGUGCCCCAAGCUCGCUUUGCUUUCUCUUAGUUGGGUAAAGAUUCCACACCUGGCAUUAUGAUGAAGAAACCUAAUUCUCAGAAUUACACAAAAAUGUUCUACAAAUGUGACUAUUGGCUGUGAAUGAUCUGCUAGCAUCAAGCUCUCAGCGUUGGCAAUAAGUAAUUGAAUUGCAAUAUUCCUUCUACAGGAUGAAUACUCCAUAUUUCCUCAGACAUACUCCAUAGACAUCAAUGGCUACAUUCUUGUUUAUUCAGUCACGUCAAUAAAAAGGUAACAAAGUCUGCUGUGUUCUCCUGCUUCACAUGUUAGCCACAUGCAUAUCAGCUCAGCUCCUGCCUCUGCUUUAUUUUUCUUUACGUAUGUGUAAUUCCUUCAGUCCCUUUGCCUUAGAAAUGUAACUGAAAUACAAAAGAAUGGCUUUUCAGAAUUUUCCCCUCAGAUCCAAAUGUCACAGGCACUUUGCAGACCAAAGCAGGAGGUACUGUGUGAGAAAUGGGGCAGUGCUGAGCUCCAGUGAUUGAGUGUAAGUGAAAGCACAUAGACUGGUCCCAGGAACAAACAGGCUUUGUGCUGUAGCGUAAGAGGUGACGAUGGAGUUCAGCAUGAACCACAAGAGCACUGCACGUUUAUGUGGACAACCAAGCUAGGUGUUCAUCUGUCCCUCAGCCUAGCAGCUUCUUGCAGUACUGAGAUUCCUUUGGCUUCCCAUCCUGACUCGUUCUGGUUAACCAUCAAAAACUUUGACAUAAGCAACAAUAUGAGACUCCUGGCCUGUAGGCUCACGCUUGCUAUGCUGCAGCAGAUCUCUUCUUUGAGGUUUCCCAGAGUUUCUGUCUUGUCCUCACUGCUAACUGUAGUCAAUCCUCACUUGAGGACAGGCUCUGUCAUAGCUGGAGAAGCACUUGGAAGUGUCUUAACCUUCUUUAAGGUAUUGUCAUCUUCUGUUAUUUUAUCCUUUCCCUUUGGUCUACUUGAUGUAAGUAUAGGUCAACCUUGAAUCACUCUUAGUUUCCUAAUACUGUACAGCAUCUUCGGCCAAAAUAAUCCUCAGUUUUAUAUUUCCAUUUGUUGAAAGUGAUGUUAAGACCUGAAGCCUUUCACUUCAGAUAGAAGAAAAGCACUGCUUCCCUUGUACUUGUAAGCUGAUCAGCUUUUGAUGAGCACUGAAGCAUUCCAUGUCUUCUCCUCUAAAACAGGAUGAAGUCGUCUUGAGUGUCCUUUAGUAAGAUCUUCAUAAACUGCAGGUGAAACAGCUCUCUUGUUGGUUCUUCUGUGCUUCUCAGAAAAUGGAUGUGGUCUGGUCAUCAACUUCAGCUGCUUUUAAGUUCUUUAAUGUUGAGCACAUUUUCAGUUCUUCAUUCUUGGAGUUCUCCAUUCUUGAUUUUCAUCUGUAGUUUCGAAGUAGUGAACAGAAAGCACGUGUGUUUGGGGGAAAUGCAGCAGGUGUGAGGCUUUCCUGUGUAUCUUAAGAAACUACCUUUUUUUCCUUCUUUUUUUUCUCACUCCCUUAAUCAGAGAUCUGUUGUUGGUGCUGAGUGACCUGUAUAAAGUUGGAGUAGUAUUCCCAGUCCUAAGAAGAAAUCCACAUUGUUCAGUAUUUGAUUCUUGAUCAACUCAAUCCCAAUUCUUGCUUUUUUUCUUGGAAAUUUCAAAGUAUUGAUGAUCCUUUCUUGUUCAAUUUCUUAUUUAAGUUCAGUAUCAAGAUGGUGUUUAGGCAACAGAAAAGAUCUUCCACUGUACUCUGGUAGCUUAGAUGUCUCUCCCAGGCAAUCAGAUUAGUCACUGUCUGUCUCAGUUUCUGUCAAAGUGUGUGUAUUGAUGGGAGUAUUGAUGCAGCUGAGUGGGAGCUUUGACAUCAAACUAAAUAGAAAUGUCCUCUUGAAAUUAUUUUCUUCCCUGCUGAUCUCCACUGGGAAGUUUAUAAUGGGGCUCGAGUGAAAGCUGAUGCCCUGCAUUUGUUAUAUUCCCAGACUCUCAGCUGCAAGGUUACUGGAAGGCUUUUGCUCUAGUUCAGCUUAAUUAAAUUCCAAAUUUGUCUCGUGCUGUGUUCUGUGAUCCUCUAUAUCACAGCUAGUGAUCCUUCAGGUUGUAUUUCACUCUGUUUUCCUGUAACCCUGUUUGCUUAACAGAACUGGAAAGGACCUCUUAUGGUCUGCAGACCUAUCGCUGUUUCACAACUUGGUGUGGUGUUGGUUUUUCUGGGGGGUGGAGGGGGGCUUGUUGAUAAGGGUUUUAAUUUGUGCCUUUGCUCCUUGUAGCCAUGUGUUUGAGAAUGCUUUCCAAAUUAAUUAAAUUGAUCCGGUCAGUCGAGGUUCAUUCUGGGUAGUUCUUACCAACUUGUUUCUGUGCCAGAAUCAUGUUGGAAUUUAAAUAGCACUUCCCUUUCGGUUUUCACCUUGAUCUAUUAAUAAAGAUCAGCUGUUAAUCCUUGGUCUAUUUUGCUAAAAAUUGAGCUCUAGAUGAGCAGAAACUGAGAACUGAGCAGCACAAGGUGGAACCACAGGUGAGGGCAUGCACUGAGCUGUGCAGUGGCACAGUGUUUUUCUGGCUACACUGGCAGCAGCUUACCUACCUAGUAGUAGAAAGUGAUUACAUUGGUGACUCGGCCAUCCUGUGGCUAGUAUGCUACAUCUCUCCUCUUGCUUCAGGCUGAGAAACAGUUCUGUGGUCUGUAUCAGAAUUAUUUUGAAUGAUUUCUCCUUCAGUUUUCAGGGUCAUCUGAUUCUCUCUGUCACAGCUGAACACCGUUUAACUCUUACUUCUGAGAUACCCUGCUGAAAGUCCAAGACCAGUUCUCAAGCCCAAAAUUUUGCUUAUACCUUUUCAGCAUAAGCUCUUCAUAAUCCUUAAUUCCUUCCAUUGAUUCCACGUUUAUGUAGUCUGUAGUAUAGUGUUUGAGUCAGUAACAGCAAGGUGUGCUGGACUGAGUUACUUCUUUUUGUACACAAUUCAUUUCUGAACAGGAUAUCUCCUAGCUCACCAUGGAAGUGUUGAGUUCUGCUCAGUCUGUAAAACUGUUGCUGAAGUAAUGCAAACAGACCUGCUUGACACACAAUCCUGAACUGAGGUAGCGUUUACUGUUCAGAACUGAGAAGCUUUAAGGAGUCCCAACAGCCUGAGUAGUGCUUCUGGGCACCGGUUCUUUGAGAAUCCAGAGCUUGGAUGUACACUGGAGUGCUGCCCUAUUUGUAAGAGCUUCAAUUCUAAUUUAAGCACAGUGCAAAAUGAAGAUGCUGCCCCUUUCUUCUUGUGUAGCUGCGUGUCAGGUGUGUGAACCAAGCCUGCACCUUUCUUAAAGCUCAGGUGUGCACUUCAUGCACCAGCAUCUUUUUUCCACAGUGUAAUCAGAAGAGCACAACAUCUGCUCUUUCACUCUGUUGAUAGCCUGUUCUCAAGUGUUAAAUGUCAGACAUGGGACUUCGGGCCUCACAGUGUUGUGCAGUGCUGUUUCUUAUCUCCAGUCAUGCAAACAUCAUGUGGGCAGCAGGUGAGCUGUUAGGUGCCUCAACAACCACUGCUUUGCUGUUGUCUUGCCCAUCAGGUUCCUCACUAUCCAUAAGAUAUUGGAAUUCAGCCUUCUCUUGGUUUUCACAGAAUGCCAAAACAACAUUCAAAGACUUCUAUGAGAGUUAAGGUUUAUUUAAAGUUAUGUAUUCUUCUCGGUGGGUUGUGCUGAACUGAAUGCUGUUCCUUUGAAACUCUGCUUUAGUUUGACAUGCUCAUCCAGGCGUGUCGGACUGUAGUAGCCGAAUUUCUUACUGUGAAUGCAGACCAGAUUGGAGGGGGCAUGGGGGCUUUUAGCACUGUGUGUUAGAUGCACCUGUCCUGGGUAACGUUUAUUUCUGCAAGUAUCAGAACUGGGUGGGCUGUAACGAUGUGCAAAGUACAGUUUGCUGCUGCCUCUGGGACCAUUUUGUCUGUUGUACACAAACCAGUAACACUUCAGCAUCUUUGUAGUUCUGCCACUGUACGUAAUUUUUAACACAGCAAUCUACAUAUGCAUUUAAUUGCUUGCGUAUUGAUUGGGUAUUAAGGAUAAGCAUUGGAGUGCACGUGUGACUUCAUCCCUUUAUUUUGCAGUUUUGAAGUGAUAAAAGUUAUCCAUGGCAAGUUAUUGGAUAUGGUGGGAAAAGUCCAGUAAGUAGUGACACUUUCAUCUCAUUUCACUGCAGGCAUGUUGCUAGUACUUCGUUCAGUAUACUAUAACUAUUCUGAAGUUCUGAACUUUCUUUCACAGAAUACCCAUUAUGCUGGUUGGAAAUAAAAAAGACCUGCAUAUGGAACGGUAUGUGAACUCCACUAUGUGGGAAAUGCAAGGCAGCAGCCGGCAUUCCUGUGGCUGCCAUGGCCGGUUUUGUUCUUGGCUUUCCAUGACUAAAAUCCAAAUGUAGGUUACAACAAAGGUACCAGCAAGGGAUUGGGUCCAGAAUGUGUGCUAGCAGCUUCUGUUGUAAUGUUGAUUCUUGCUAAAAAGCUUCCAAAAAGAAAAAGAGAAGUAGAAUAUUUGUUUGAAGACAAGUAAGGAAGUGUCUUUUUUACCACUCUGAGACAGGAGAUGAUGCUGCAGCGUAGGGAAACAAGUCAGUGUUUGGGACAAUUGCUCCCUUCUGGGUCACAUAGGAGUUCUACGUGGCCCAGCAGUGAAUUUGACAGCAGCAUAUAGCAAUUGUUUGGGACAAGGCCUUUCAAAAUGUUAUAUAUGCCUUAAGUGCUUCAGAACUGUGGGGACAUUCCUGAAGCUUCAGUCCUUCUGUGAGUUACAAAGAAACAUGCUUUCCACUCUUUUGCAGGGUGAUCAGCUAUGAAGAAGGGAAAGCUUUAGCAGAAUCCUGGAAUGCAGCUUUCUUGGAAUCUUCUGCUAAAGAAAAUCAGGUAACAAAUUUAAGAUUCACUUAUUUGAAUAGCAGUGUUAUGGAAUGUCUCAUAGUUUCACUUGAUAAAGGAAGCUAAAUAUCUGCACGUCCUGUACAGAUAGAUUGUGUAGAUGGUUGGAAAUAAAAUGGGUGUCUGCGUUCAGAUAUACAUAUAUAUAUGCUUGUUGAUGCAACUGUAAGUUAAAGGGUGAAAUGGAGAACUGAAAGUUAAGCUUUGCUGAACAAAACAUAACGGUGGCAAACUCAAACUUGCAGCCCUGCUGUGUGUGGGACAGGGUCUGUGAUCUGCUGUGGUGGCCUUGAAUAGGGAGCUCCUUGUUGCUUCAGGGGGGUGAGUUGGUGUAAGGGAAUGAACAUCAUGGUUUAAGGUGCUGGAUAGGACUUGGUCUGUCUAGUGGGGGGAAUAGUAGUUCUGUGGGCACAGAGUGAAUGAGAAGAAUGUUAGAGGCAGGCAGACACCGUUGUGUUACAGUCGUAGUGAAGUUGCUGUAAAUUCCUUCAGAACACCUUCUGAAUAUAUUCUGGAGUUUGAAUUUGUUCCUGUGGCUUAUCAUAACACUUUGUCACUGCCCUACACUUGAGUGCUUAAGCUACAAGAGCCUACAGAUUUGAGCUUGAAGUUAGUAAAAUUAACUAUAGGUGGAGGGUGCCAGCCUUUCCAACUUAUUUUGUGUUGCUGUUUUUUCUGUUGGUGUUGCCAAUGUCAGUACUGUUGCUUCUUGCAAACGUGAAUAUAUGGUGGGGUCACAGGGGCACUGUCAGGCUGUGUUUAGAGGAAUUGGUCCUUCUGCACAAGUGCACACUGUCUCAUAUUUAACCUAAUACAAUCACAUCCUUCGAUGUUCUCAGCAGCAGAAUCAGAAGGGCAGCCCCAUAGCUGGGGCAGCACCUGCAUGAGCAGCCUUUCUGUCCCCUGCUUUCAGCUGCAAAACAAACAGCUGCUGGCUGAUAACUUGUGGCUCUACUGGAAGCAGACACUUGUGUAAAGUUGGAUUUUCCCUGGCAGGAAAUUUGCAGGUUUUUUUUCUCCACGUAUGGAAUACUUGGAAUUAGUUUCUAAGUACUUCUAUUUCUGGCUAAGAGUUGCACUAACCAUGUCAGAAUUGGCUGUGCUGAAAGCAUGCAGUUCCUUAAUAUCUUCUCUACUUCUGGAGAGCCUCAGAUACAUACCUUUAGAAACUCAAUUGCCAGCCUAGGGAAUAAACCAGUUAAAAGAAUGAGAUCAUUUAUGUAUUUUCAAACAACUCAGUACUUCUGGAAUAGGCAGAGCUAUUGUUUGUUCUUUUUUUGGACGUAGUUCACAAUGUGUAACAGUGUAGUAAUUCAUAUCUUACAGAGUAUCUUACUAAUAACUCUUUUGAAGUUCGUAUUGUGUAUUGUCUUGGAUCAAAAAAAAAGAAAAAGAAAAAACUGUGUAUAUUUAUGCAAAGAAACUACGAGCUUUAUAUGAUGUUUGACAUGCCUUGCAUAUUAAAUUGCUGUGCUAACAAAGUCCCAUUGACUGCCUGUAUUUGUGCCUGUCCCUUGGUCUCAGAGUAUCUGCAUUAAGUUAGCUAUUAGCUGAAAUUCAUAUGGGGAAGCGGUGCUGGCAUGGAACUCCUUGCUGUGGAAAUUACAGUGCAGCAGUAAGGUCAUGCCUUGUGUGUAAUACACCUGGAAACUGGCUGACCUGAGAUGUUCAGGAGGUGAUGCGUUGCUUUGCAGGCCCACAACACAUGACUGUCUUUUAGGCAUCUGAUGGGCUCCCUCUGGAUGCUUGGUGCAUAUGCAAGAAAGCAUAAUGGAGCCUGGAGUGAGGCAGCUCUCCUUCUGUUGCUGCAGACAGUUGCUGAGGAAUGGUUGUUGCUGAAGGAGGUGGAUGGUUGAGCUUGGAAAGCAAAGUAUAAGGCCUGGAGCUGUGAGGUUCUAGGGGAAAAAGAAGUCUUGUUUCUGAAAUCUAUACAUUUUUGGUGGAUGUGGAGCAGGAGAAUGGCAGUCUCUGAUGUGCUGGUCUGAAAUUGGUUUGGUACAUGGGACAGCCUACGGAGAGACUGUAGGCUGAUUCCAGUUUGACCUACAUGGUCUGUCCUUUAUAGCAGCUCUUAGCAAGAAACUCUGAAAGGAGAGGAGGCAUUCCCUGUUACAAGUUCUAGCAGAGGCUUCUCUCUCUCUAUGAAAGGAGGUGGGAAAGCAUUGACUCAUCUCCCUUCCUGCUUUGCCCAAAAAAACCCAAAAACUAUUUGGAGCAUCUGUGGGAGUCCUAGGAACAAAUCCCUGCUGCAGCAGGCAACUGAAGUGGUUGCGCAGAUGAACUUAAUCCUACCAGGCCUGUUCUGCUGGGAGUUGUCAGAAGAUACCACACUGAUGAAACGGCAUGGCAUAGUCUCUCCCACUUCCCAUCUAUUCAGAGAUCUGAGCUGACAGGAGGGUAAGUGGUAGGGGAUGGCAAGAGUUGCUCAGGUCUGAUCUGCUUAGGCUCUGUCCCCUCCUUUAGACUCUGGUGGCCUGCUAAGGCUUUGGAGCUUGUGUAUCGUGUUGGGCACCUGGGGAGAUCACUACGUUUUGAGAGGGCGAUUCUGGGGCUGGAUGCCCAGGAAAAGAUGACUGUUAAACUAAGUCUUGGUUGGAGAUCAUCCACCAGAUUGGGUGAAUGCUUCCUACAGGAAGAAUUUGGGGUAUUUGGGGUCUUUCUUUGGUUCAUUCUAAAAGUCAGCUUCAAGCUGGAAGCAUUCAAGGGCAUCAUGCAUCUUGUAAGCAAAAUAUGAGACACGUAAAAUCACAUCUUGUUGAGCUACGACCUGAAGCUGAGUUCAGGUAUUAAAUCCCUUCUCUGGGCCCUAGAUGUACUUGUUGUGUUUUUUCAAGCUGCUUAAUUAUUUCUGGCUGUGUUGAAGUGCAGUGUAUCUACUGGACUAACUUCAGGAGCUUCAUUCAGGCUUUUCCUGGGGAGUUCAUUACUUCGUUCCCCCUAAGCCAUAGUACAGUGCUUUGUCUUUAAUCCCAGCACAGUAAAUUGCUAAUGGUGCGAAAUACAACCAGAACCCAGAUUGGUCCCUAAGCCUGCUUGAAGCCAAAAGCCAGAGAGUAAUGAGCAUUCGUGUGUCCAUCCACUUACACAGAAUUCAUUAGAAGGGCUUAUUUUAGAAGGGGGAAGGAAGUAGUUAGAAAAAAAAAACAAAAACAAAUCCACUUCUCACCAAAACACCUCUCUUAAAAAUGAGUUCUGAGAUGUUGUUGCUUUUUCAAGAGUAGUUUGAUAUCCAAGGCUGGAAGGUGCAGUGUGUGAGGAUGCUCAGAGGGGCUUGGGAUCUUGCUUCUCCCCCCAACCCCCCCCCCUUAGGGGUUUGGGAGUGCUUCCAUGGGAGAGCAUUUGGUGGGAGGGGAAAUGGCCUUCCUUACCUGACCAUUGUUCAGAGUUCCUUUGCCCAGUUCUGUGCCAAGAACAACCAGUAGCGCGAGAAUUUCCUCUCCAAAAUCACCCAGCAGUUGUUUGGAAAACAGCACAGCAGCACUGAGCUGACAGCAGCAGCUGUGGGCUGGGUUCAGGGGCUUCACACCUUCCCAUUUGUGCACCUCCUGGGCUCUGUUUGGCACCCACGGGUGUGUGUGCAGGAGCACUGAGCCUCCUGGCGCCUCACGCACAGCAGCACCCAUUGCCCUGCCUGGCAUCUCUUUCACUUCCUCAAGGGAAGGAGGUAGAAGAGAGGCAGAUGGCUUUCUGUAGGCUAGAUGUGACCCACAUCCUGUAACUGCACCAUAUGCAGACAGAUGCAUGGAAAGUCUGGCUGCGUUCUUUAUUUCUUGUUGCAAAACAGUUUCCUGCGUUGCUUAAAAGCUCAUUCUAAAAUCCUUGAGCAUAUUUGGGCUGAAUUACAAGUUCCUACGGGUUAACUGCAGGGCACUGAUUAAAGCUUCUCAGUGAAUAUAUGUUCUCUGCGAAAUGAAUUAGCGGCCCUGUGAACUCCUACAUCUCAGCGUUCCCAGCAGCGUGGCUUUGACAGAGAAUAUAUAGCUGCUUGCUUGUCGGAAUAAAGCGUGGGCUUUUGUAGUAGGUGCUUUCAAGCAGGAAUAUGAAGAAUCGGUGCGUUAAAAUGUCAGCUGUAAGCAAUGAAAUAUCAGUACGGUGUAUUUGUAAAGCAGGAUAUCACCUACUUUUGACCAAGGGAAAUUCUUCAUUAGUAGAACCAGUUUGACAGCAGCUGCAGUACUGCCCGUGCUCUUCCUUCAGUCUCGUUUGCCCAGGGGAUGCACUGUGUUAUACAGGGCUGGUGAGCCACGGCGGUCAGAUCCUGCUUGGAUUGUGGAGGGCCGUUGUCAGCUGGUGACUCCCAGCCCAGCAGCAUCUGCUGCCAUCCCUUUGGAGGGGAUGCAUUUUGUGUUGGUGUAGUGGGUGAAAGUGCAGAGGAGCGCUGCUUUCAGGCUGCUGCUCACCGUGUGCUCUCUCUUUGCAGACCGCCGUUGAUGUUUUUAAGAGGAUAAUUUUGGAGGCAGAAAAAAUCGAUGGGGCAGCUUCACAAGGGAAGUCUUCAUGCUCAGUAAUGUAAUUCCACUGCAAAGGCUGAAAACAAUGGGAAUACAUUCUACCUGAAGAAGCAAAACUGCCCUUUAUCUUCAAGGAUAAACUAUGCUUCUUUUUUUUUUUUUUUAAUUUUUUAAUUUUGUGGGUUUUUUUUUUUCUUCUGUUAACCUGAGAGAUACACAGUUGGUUUGGAGCCUUUCCCUUCAGAUUAUGUUAAACUCUGACUCCUGUGCAAAUGGCUUCACUUCCAUUUUCAAAUUUUAAGCAAUCAUAUUUUCAAUUUAUAUAUUGUAUUUCUUAAUAUUAUGACCAAGAAUUUUACUGGCAUUAAUUUUUCAGUGUAGUUUGUUGGUUAGAAUAAUCAUCAAAAUGAUGCAUAUUGUUACACUACUAUUAACUAGGCUUGGAUAUCAGUGUUUCUUUGUGUUAAAUGUAUACUUGUAAAUAAAAUAGCUGCAAACCUUCACGUUCUCCUUAUAACUUUUUGGUGGUUGCCCCAUGCCAGCUUCUGUGUGAGAUGUUCACCUGUUGGCCUUAAGAGGAGCGCGCAAUGGCUUAGGAGGAAAUCCCAUCCACUUGUACUGCUGCAACUCCGAGGUGCCAGGAUAGCUCAGCUGGAUUUUGUGCUGGUUGUAGAAAGGAGAAGCAACGAACACCUUUGUAAAGGUGCCAGGGGAAGGUUUGGAGGGAGGAGCUGGGUUUGGUCAAACAGCACUGCUUGUUCCUUUGUGUGACCGUGAGAGCUGCAGGCUGAAGGGCACACAUCUGUUCCAAGGAGCGGGCUGGCAUGCAGCUGGGCACUCUCAGGUUGGAAUGGAUUUAGCCAAGUUAAACUUGCUAAGAAAACAAAACUGUUGAUUAAAAUAAAUUGCACGUCGAAC
This 30818-nucleotide long non-coding RNA is filed under the name Gallus gallus (chicken). RNAcentral's name for it is "lncRNA (ENSGALG00010027617.1)". The record is from RNAcentral. Lineage: Eukaryota; Metazoa; Chordata; Aves; Galliformes; Phasianidae.